RNAcentral lists this ribosomal RNA (544 nucleotides) under Heterosigma akashiwo. RNAcentral's name for it is "partial Bacterial large subunit ribosomal RNA". It matches the Rfam family "Bacterial large subunit ribosomal RNA", at positions 25 to 629 of the family's 2925-position model. Lineage: Eukaryota; Raphidophyceae; Chattonellales; Chattonellaceae. The record is from RNAcentral.
UGGAUGCCUUGGCAUAAAGAGGCGAUGAAAGACGUGGCACUCUGCGAUAAGCUACGGGGAGGUGAGAGCAACCUUUGAUCCGUAGAUCUCUGAAUGGGGCAACCCGGCGCUUUAGCGUCAUCGUUAACUGAAUACAUAGGUUAACGAAGCAAACCCGGCGAAGUGAAACAUCUCAGUAGCCGGAGGAAAGGACAUCAACCGAGACUCCGUUAGUAGUGGCGAGCGAACGCGGACCAGGCCAGUGCUCUUAUCAAUCGAACCGGAACCGUCUGGAAAGUCGGGCCGCAGUGGGUGACAGCCCCGUACGGGUAGGAAAGAUAAGAGACUCGAGUAGGGCGGGACACGUGAAAUCCUGUCUGAACAUGGGGGGACCAUCCUCCAAGCCUAAGUACUCCUACAUGACCGAUAGUGAACCAGUACCGUGAGGGAAAGGUGAAAAGCACCCCGACGAGGGGAGUGAAACAGACCCUGAAACUGGACGCCUACAAGCAGUCGGAGGGCGAAAGCCUGACGGCGUACCUUUUGUAUAAUGGGUCAGCGACUU